Molecule: ribosomal RNA, 404 nt
Filed under: uncultured bacterium
Lineage: Bacteria
Description: bacterial SSU rRNA
Rfam family: Bacterial small subunit ribosomal RNA
Source: RNAcentral
UGGGGAAUAUUGGACAAUGGGCGAAAGCCUGAUCCAGCCAUGCCGCGUGGAUGAAGAAGGCCUUAGGGUUGUAAAGUCCUUUCGAUGGUGAAGAUAAUGACGGUAACCAUAGAAGAAGCCCCGGCUAAUUUCGUGCCAGCAGCCGCGGUAAUACGAAAGGGGCUAGCGUUGUUCGGAAUUACUGGGCGUAAAGCGCACGUAGGCGGCCUUGUAAGUUGGGGGUGAAAUCCCGGGGCUCAACCCCGGAACUGCCUCCAAAACUACAAAGCUAGAGGAUGUGAGAGGAUAGUGGAAUUCCGAGUGUAGAGGUGAAAUUCGUAGAUAUUCGGAAGAACACCAGUGGCGAAGGCGACUGUCUGGCACAUUUCUGACGCUGAGGUGCGAAAGCGUGGGGAGCAAACAGG